This 375-nucleotide unclassified non-coding RNA is filed under the name Hevea brasiliensis (rubber tree). Lineage: Eukaryota; Viridiplantae; Streptophyta; Magnoliopsida; Malpighiales; Euphorbiaceae. The record is from RNAcentral.
UACCCUUUAUAGGGUAUUUGAUUUCACCCCUAACAUUAGUCAUCUUGACUGCCUGUACAGCUUCAACAACCAUAUUUGCGAAGAAGUCACUAUCAUCUGCUAUCAACUUUGAUGACAUGCUUGUCUUGGCGCAGUUUAUAAGAGAAUCUUUUCCAAGCUUAUCGACCUUAACAGCCAAUUUUUCUUCAACAUAUUUGCAUGCUUCCCUCAUUGCUAGCCUAUAUCCACUGAUGAUCGAGGUUGGGUGAAUUUUGUGUCUCACCAACUCAUUUGCUCCCUUAAGCAAUUCUGCAGCUAUAAUAACAACUGAGGUUGUUCCAUCACCAACUUCUCGAUCUUGGAGUUCAGCCAACUCAACAAGAACCUUGGCAGCUG